RNAcentral lists this ribosomal RNA (1521 nucleotides) under metagenome. Its description in RNAcentral is "bacterial SSU rRNA". It matches the Rfam family "Bacterial small subunit ribosomal RNA". The record is from RNAcentral.
AGAGUUUGAUCCUGGCUUAGAAUGUACGUUGGCGGCGUGUUUAAUAUAUGUAAGUUGUAUGAGAAUUCUUCUGUUUGUAGAAGAUAGUAAGUGGCGUACGGGUGAGUAAUGCGUGGGUAAUUUAUCUCCGAAUCCGGGUUAAUACCGCGAAAGCGGUGUUAAUACCAGAUAAUAUUUUAUUGAUUUUGUUUGUAAAGAUCAAAGGUGGCCUCUACAUGUAAGCUACUGUUUGGAGAUGAGCCCGCGUAUCAUUAGCUUGUUGGUGGGGUAAUGGUUUACUAAGGUAAUGAUGGUUAGCUGGUCUGAGAGGAUGAUCAGCCAUACUGGAAUUGAUAUAUGGUUUAGAUUUUUAUGGGAGGUAGUAGUGAGGAAUUUUGCGCAAUGGGGGAAACCCUGACGCAGUAACGCCGCGUGAGUGAUGAAGGCUUUCGGGUCGUAAAACUCUGUCAAGUGGGAAGAAUCUAUGUCGUGCCAAUAUCACGACAUACUGACGGUACCACUGAAGGAAGCACCGGUUAACUCCGUGCCAGUAGUUGUGGUAAUACGGGGGGUGCAAGCGUUAUUCGGAAUCAUUGGGUGUAAAGUGCGCGUAGGCGGUCUUGGAAGUCAGAUGUGAAAGCCCGGGGUUUAACCCUGGAAGUGCAUUUGAAACUCUGAGACUUGAGUAUGGUAGAGGGAAGUGGAAUUUUUGGUGUAGAGGUGAAAUUUGUAGAUAUUAGGAGGAAUAUUGGUGGUGAAGGUGACUUCCUGGGCCAAUACUGACGCUGAGGCGCGAAGGCGUGGGUAGUAAAUAGGAUUAGAUAUCCUGGUAGUCCACGCAGUAAAUGUUGAUUACUAGGUGUAGCGGGUAUUGAUUUCUGCUGUGCCGCAGUUAACGCAUUAAGUGAUCCGCCUGGGGAGUAUGACCGUAAGGUUAAAACUCACAGGAAUUGACGGGGGCCCGCACAAGUGGUGGAGCAUGUGGUUUAAUUUGAUGCAAUGUGAAGAAUUUUACCUGGAUUUGAUAUUUCGAGAAAUCUUUUGAAAAAUUGAUGUGCCCUUCGGGGAAUUCGGAGACAGAUGUUGCAUGGCUGUCGUCAGCUCGUGUUGUGAGAUGUUGGGUUAAGUUUUGCAACGAGCGCAACCCCUAUCUUUAGUUACCAGCGAUUUGGUAGGGGACUUUAGAGAUACUGCCCCGGUUAACGGGGAGGAAGGUGGGGAUGACGUCAAGUCCUUAUGGCCUUUAUGUCCAGGGCUACACACGUGCUACAAUGGAUUGUAUAAAGGGUUGUUAGUUUGCGAAGGUGAGCUAACCCUAGAAAGCAGUUCUUAGUUUGGAUUGGAGUCUGUAAUUUGACUCCAUGAAGCUGGAAUCGCUAGUAAUUGCGGAUUAGUAUGCCGCGGUGAAUACGUUUUUGGGCCUUGUACAUACUGCCCGUCACACCAUGAGAGUUGAUUGUACCGGAAGUUGUUGGGCUAAUUUAUUAGGGAGGUAAGUAUUUAUGGUAUGGUUGAUGAUUGGGGUGAAGUCGUAACAAGGUA